This 862-nucleotide ribosomal RNA is filed under the name uncultured bacterium. Its description in RNAcentral is "bacterial SSU rRNA". It matches the Rfam family "Bacterial small subunit ribosomal RNA", at positions 30 to 879 of the family's 1533-position model. The record is from RNAcentral.
CGAACGCUGGCGGCGUGCCUAAGUCGAGCGGAUGAAAGAGAGCUGCUCUCUGGAUUCAGCGGCGGACGGGUGAGUAACACGUGGGCAACCUGCCUGUAAGACUGGGAUAACUCCGGUAAACCGGGGCUAAUACCGGAUAACUUCUUUUCCCGCAUGGGGAGAGGUUGAAAGAGGGUUAUGCUGUCACUUACAGAUGGGCCCGCGGCGCAUUAGCUAGUUGGUGGGGUAACGGCCUACAAAGGCGACGAUGCGUAGCCGACCUGAGAGGGUGAUCGGCCACACUGGGACUGAGACACGGCCCUGAACUCGCUACGGGAGACAGCAGUAGGGAAUCUUCCGCAAUGGACGAAAGUCUGACGGAGCAACGCCGCGUGAGUGACGAAGGCCUUCGGGUCGUAAAACUCUGUUAUCAGGGAAGAAYAAGCAUCGUUUAACUGACCGUGCCAUGACGGUACCUGACCAGGAAGCCACGGCUAACUACGUGCCAGCAGCCGCGGUAAUACGUAGGUGGCAAGCGUUGUCCGGAAUUAUUGGGCGUAAAGCGCGCGCAGGCGGCUUCUAAAGUCUGAUGUGAAUAGUGCCACGGCUCAACCGUGGAGGGUCAUUGGGAAACUGGGAGGCUUGAGUGCAGAUGAGGAGAGCGGAAUUCCACGUGUAGCGGUGAAAUGCGUAGAGAUGUGGAGGAACACCAGUGGCGAAGGCGGCUCUCUGGUCUGUAACUGACGCUAAGGCGCGAAAGCGUGGGUAGCGAACAGGAUUAGAUACCCUGGUAGUCCACGCCGUAAACGAUGAGUGCUAAAGUGUUAAGGGGAUUUCCGCCCAUUAGUGCUGCAGCGAACGCAUUAAGCACUCCGCCUGAGGA